Molecule: ribosomal RNA, 490 nt
Filed under: uncultured bacterium
Lineage: Bacteria
Description: partial 16S ribosomal RNA
Rfam family: Bacterial small subunit ribosomal RNA
Source: RNAcentral
AUUGAACGCUGGCGGCAGGCCUAACACAUGCAAGUCGAACGGUAACAGGAAGAAGCUUGCUUCUUUGCUGACGAGUGGCGGACGGGUGAGAAAUGUCUGGGAAACUGCCUGAUGGAGGGGGAUAACUACUGGAAACGGUAGCUAAUACCGCAUAACGUCGCAAGACCAAAGAGGGGGACUUACGGGCCUCUUGCCAUUGGAUGUGCCCAGAUGGGAUUAGCUAGUAGGUGGGGUAACGGCUCACCUAGGCGACGAUCCCUAGCUGGUCUGAGAGGAUGACCAGCCACACUGGAACUGAGACACGGUCCAGACUCCUACGGGAGGCAGCAGUGGGGAAUAUUGCACAAUGGGCGCAAGCCUGAUGCAGCCAUGCCGCGUGUAUGAAGAAGGCCUUCGGGUUGUAAAGUACUUUCAGCGGGGAGGAAGGGAGUAAAGUUAAUACCUUGGCUCAUUGACGUUACCCGCAGAAGAAGCACCGGCUAACUCCGUG